CCUACGGGAGGCAGCAGUGAGGAAUAUUGGUCAAUGGUCGGGAGCCUGAACCAGCCAAGCCGCGUGAGGGAUGAAGGUACAGAGCGUCGUAAACUUCUUUUGUCGGGGAACAAAGGCGGGGACGUGUCCCCGGAUGAGUGUACCCGAAGAAAAAGCAUCGGCUAACUCCGUGCCAGCAGCCGCGGUAAUACGGAGGAUGCGAGCGUUAUCCGGAUGUAUUGGGUUUAAAGGGUGCGUAGGCGGUCUGGGAAGUCAGCGGUAAAAGCCCGGGGCUCAACCCCGGCGAGCCGUUGAAACUGGCAGUCUCGAGUUGGAGAGAAGUAUGCGGAAUGCGCGGUGUAGCGGUGAAAUGCAUAGAUAUCGCGCAGAACUCCGAUUGCGAAGGCAGCGUACCGGCGCCGCACUGACGCUGAGGCACGAAAGCGUGGGUAUCGAACAGGAUUAGAUACCCGAGUAGUC
Molecule: ribosomal RNA, 459 nt
Filed under: uncultured bacterium
Lineage: Bacteria
Description: partial 16S ribosomal RNA
Rfam family: Bacterial small subunit ribosomal RNA
Source: RNAcentral